UGCGGCUGGAUCCCCUCCUUUCUGGAGCGACGAGUAGAACCGGGCCUCGUGCCCGGGCUCGAAAGUCCUCGAGAUGUCGCCCGCACUGCCCUCCCAUUGCCCACAUUGAUUUUGCUCUUUGACAACCGAAGGCCGGAUGGUGUUGUUGUUAGGGAAUCCAAACCGUGCGUAGCGACGACCCUCCGUGGUCGUCGCUAUGCGAGAACAAGAUCGAGAUCAAACGCAAUAAGGCACAACGGUGGAUGCCUUGGCA
RNAcentral lists this unclassified non-coding RNA (253 nucleotides) under uncultured Actinomycetes bacterium. RNAcentral's name for it is "uncultured actinobacterium partial contains 16S ribosomal RNA, intergenic spacer and 23S ribosomal RNA". The record is from RNAcentral. Lineage: Bacteria; Bacillati; Actinomycetota; Actinomycetes.